UCGGCACUUGUCGCGCUUGGACGGCCAUUUUGUUGCCCCCGUUUGGGCGCAAGCUCAAGCGGUCGGGUCUGGUUGCCGGCGCGCAGGUUUCGCUCCGAGCCGCGGCGGACCGCACUUCUCCCUUAGUAGGACGUCGCGACCCGCUCGUCCGUGGCCUACGGCUGAGCAAGACGCCUGGCGCUCGCGUUGGUCCCCUCCGUGGGGCCAGCGGCUGUGUGUCCAGACUGCUCGUGCUUCCCGGCCACGGUAACGGACGGUAUCGAAUACCGGUGUCGAGUCGCUUCUAAGCGGAGGGGGAAAUAAAACACCUCCCCGUACGGAAGCGCCCUAGGCAGAGGGCAAGGUUUUUCUGAGUGUCUAAAAACGUAAGUUUUGAAGUCAAGACGUUUGUUUUCUGUUCGUCUGGCGGAGCUCGGGCCUGUUGGUUCUCUGUCUUUGGGCUGGCUCAUUCCCAUUGCGCGGAGAGUGGCACCAGUCAGCGGCGAUCUAGUUUUGGGCUCUUUUCCGACCCGUCUUGAAACACGGACCAAGGAGUUUAGCGUGCUCGCGAGUCAUUGGGUGUUACAAAACCUAAAGGCGAAAUGAAAGUAAAGAGACGUCUUUUACGACUCUCAAGGGAGGAUGAGCUACUGCUCCUGGUCGUUCUAACCGGCGGCCGAGCGUGUCUCCGCACUCCCGGGGCGAUUCUUUCUCAUUGCGAGUGGAGGCGCACCAAGAGCGAGCACGCUGAAACCCGAAAGAUGGUGAACUAUGCCUGGCCAGGACGAAGCCAGGGGAAACCCUGGUGGAGGUCCGCAGCGAUUCUGACGUGCAAAUCGAUCGUCGGAGCUGGGUAUAGGGGCGAAAGACCAAUCGAACCAUCUAGUAGCUGGUUCCCUCUGAAGUUUCCCUCAGGAUAGCUUGCGCUCGGGUGUGAAGAGUCUCAUCCGGUAGAGCGAAUGAUUAGAGGCCUUGGGGUCGAAACGACCUCAACCUAUUCUCAAACUCCAAAUAGAUGAGAACCCCGGCUUGCUUGAACAUUAUUUUUUUUUGAAGCCGCGGGACUCGGAUCAAAGUGCCAAGUGGGCCAAUUUUGGUAAG
This 1080-nucleotide ribosomal RNA is filed under the name Radinacantha reticulata. RNAcentral's name for it is "partial large subunit ribosomal RNA". It matches the Rfam family "Eukaryotic large subunit ribosomal RNA", at positions 594 to 1144 of the family's 3401-position model. The record is from RNAcentral. Lineage: Eukaryota; Metazoa; Arthropoda; Insecta; Hemiptera; Tingidae.